GCCGGGGGGUUCAGAUGCUGGUUCCAAGCAAAGACGAAAAAUUGGGUGGAAGCUGCCUGUCUGUCUGUUGAACCUCACCCCAUCUAUCCACCCACUUAUUCACCCAUCCAUCCACCCACCAAUCCACCCAUCCACCCAUCUCUCCAUCCUUCCAUCCAACCACUCAACACAUAAUAGCAAAGCCCCUAGAAUAUUCCAUGUCUUGCACUGAGGACAUGGUGGUUAGACCCGACCCCUGCCCUCAAGGUGAGUACAGUCUAGAGAGAAAACUUACGUAUUUACAGUCAGUGUGAUAAGUCUAAGUCUAAGAAGCAUAGGUGGCUGAGGGACACAAGCAUGAGACACCCACAUGAUCUGGACAGGGAGGAGAGUGGGUGAUAGCUGAGCAAAGGCUGAAGGAUAAUGAAGAGUUGGCAGUAAGUAAAGUGGAAAGACAGAGCAUCCCAGGCACAGAGAAUAGCUUGUGCCAAGGCCUGGAGAGAGCUGGGCAUUUUGGGGGAACUACUAGGAGCUCAGGAGAGCUGUACCCUCAAGUGUGAUGGGAGAAGGAGGUAAGAGGUGAGAUGCAAAGGAGGUGACCAGGGGUCUCCACCUGAAGGGCUUCCUGGACCUUGGCAAAUAGUUGGACUUCAUCCUGAAGGCCAGAGGCAGAUUUUCUGUGAUUUUAAAGGACUCAUCACCACCUACAGCAACAUCUCCCCUGCCACACCCCCUCAGUAGGGAUCAACUGCUUCUCACCUCCCAGCCUGAAGUAGCCUGGGCUCCCUUUCCUUGGUACUAAGCCCUGAAAGCUUGGCUCAGGGCUGCAGGGUUUGCUGUGUCCAGGAAGGUUUCCCUCUCCCCCUCCAUUAACACACAUUGUACCCAUGCCUGAGGCCACACCAUCAGCACCGUGGAGUAGUCACCAGGCAAAGCUAUCACCAAGAGGUGACUACAUUCAACUCUUCCCUGAGGUUGCUAAAACAGACAUGGAGGGCAGUUUCUCCAGCAGUAAGAAUGGAUUGCAUUGCAAUAUCCAGACCCUCUCACUACCUGCAGGGCCUCUGCACACUCUCCUUCCACCUGCCCAUUACUAACAGGAGUAGUGCCCAUGAAAUUUGUUGAAGGCACAGUAAUGAAUGACCUGCAUUUGACAGACAUCCACUGAGUAUCGGGCUAUGGGCCUAAUCCAUGACCAAGGUUGAGGGGCAGUUUGACCAGGGUUAGGGUCAGCCAUAAGAGAUGACAUCUAUUAGAAUAGAGGCUACCUGAGGACCAAGAUAUUGUCUGUCUAGGUCCCCACUGUAAUCCUCAGGACAUACAGCAAUGCCUCCUGCUCAAUAAAUAGACACUGAAUAAAUGAAUGAAUGAAUGAAUGUUAACCAAGCUUCAUGGAAUAGCCAGGGCCCUGGCUCAGGGACAGCCUAUGUCCAGUGGUAAGUCAGUCUGAGAAGCAUGUUGGAGCCUUUCUGUAGUGAGCACCAGGGCCAGGGAACUGAACGAAAAUCAAAGGACCCCCUUGGUAAUCAAGCCACCAUCUUGAUUUCCCCAGCAAUGGGUCCUGCUCCAGCCCCCAAACUCACUGACACCUCCAGCCCCUGGAGAACUAGUAUACCAUAAGACAACACCCAUCCUUCACAGAUGUCUGGCUCAUGCAAACUUCCCCCCACCCCACCCCGCCACACAUAAGAGCUGGUGACAUCAGGUGUCUUUGGACCUCAAGUCCCAGCUGAUCUGGUUGUGCUGUGUUGUCAGUGCCUCCCCAUCAUUGUAAGAACAAGGCCAAAAUCCUUGACAUGGCAUCCAAUGCCCUGCCUACCUCUGCAGCCCCUGCCUUACCACCUCAACGCUGGCCCAGGCUCUGUGCUCCAGCAACAGUGAACACCCUGCCAUUUCCUACUUCCACGCCAUAGUAGGCAUGGUUCCUGCUCCAUGCCAUACGCUUUUCCUCCUUAAAAAUAUGGCAAAUCAUUACUUCUUCAAAACGCGUGUCCUUAAAUAGUUGACCAAUUCAUUCCGACGUUCCUCACUGUCACAAAGUAUGGUAAUGACCAAUUCUGUUUCUCUUUCCUGCCUUUUAAAAAAUCUCCGUAUCCCCAGCACCCAGCCCCAGGCUUGACACUCAUCACCACCACCACCACCUCCAUCACUACCACCGCUGUCAUCAUCACUACCACCAUUGCCACCACCCCAUCAUCACCACUCCAUCAUUCCCACCACCACCUCCACCACCAUCACUGCCAUUACUGUCGUCACAACUGACAUUCACUGAGCACUUACUGUGUGCCAGGCCCAGUGUGAAGGCAUCCCCAGAAAGAUCCCAAUAAGGAGGACGGUCCUUUAUCAUUAUCCCCAUUGUACAGAUGAACAGAUCGAGGCUCCUAGCCAUUUGGUAACUUGUUCAAUAAUUCAAAUUCAAGCUGUUUCUUCCUUAUCCAAACCAAGGUAAGAGCCUGGAGCCCAGGUAAUCCAAAAAAUUCCUUACAACAUUGGUUCUGUUUGACUUUGGACUGUCUUGAAGAGGUCAACCACUUAGAAAGCCACUAAUAUCUGUGGACUCCAGACACUGCCCCAGGUACCACAUCUUAGAAUGUGAACCUUUGGGGCAGAGCUCCUGAAAUGCCAUCUGCCCCCGUGACCCGUAACCCCUGCUCCACCCCUGGGCUUAGAUACAGCACCAGGCAGCUGACUUGCAGAGCCACUGAUGAGGAGCCAACAUCUACUCCGUACAGCCCCACCAGGUGCCACUCGCCUCCGGAAGGAUGGAUCCCAGCAGCAGCCAACUCCUCAGGCAGGCAGUUUGAUGGAUCCUACAGGAAAAGAAAACCUCCCAGACAGUCAGCUGGCACUCUCUGCUUCUCUCCAUGUCUCUCCCUUACCCCCUAGGCUGGAGAGGGAGAUGAGGAGAUUCCAGGUGAUGUCACCCUCCUGCCCAGCAUCCCAACCUUCCCUGGCAUUGUCCCCUCCAUGUGCACAAGCCUACUGAGGCCUUCACAAGAUGUCUCGCCCUCCCAUGACCCCUACCCACAGUCCAGCCCAAGCAUCAGGAAAGGGCCUUUAUCCCAGCAUCCUGCCAGUCCACCGAGACGGGCAGGGCAGCUCCGGGGACAGCUCCCAUACCUCGCAAUAGCACCAAUAAUCCCUUCAUUUCAGACAGCACAAGACAGUUUAUCACUCACCUCCACACCCAUUUUCUCAAGAAUAUUGGGGGCCCCACUUCCUCCUAGAAUCAGAGCCUAUUACAGAAGCAUCUGAUGAUCAUACUUACGGUCUGGUGCCUUUCACUGACCCUCAGCAUUGCACAGCAGUGAUGAGAAGCACAAUAAAAAUAGAAGCAAUAGGCCGGGCGUGGUGGCUCAAGCCUGUAAUCCCAGUACUUUGGGAGGCCGAGGCGGGCGGAUCACAAGGUCAGGAGAUCGAGACCAUCCUGGCUAACGUGAAACCCCAUCUCUACUAAAAAUAUUAAAAAAAAAACUUAGCUGGGCGUGGUGGCGGGCACCUGUAGUCCCAGCUACUCGGGAGGCUGAGACAGGAGAAUGGCGUGAACCUGGGAGGCAGAACUUGCAGUGAGCCGAGAUCGCACCACUGCACUCCAGCCUGGGCGACAGAGCGAGACUCUGUCUCAAAAAACAAACAAAAAAAAAUAAAUUUUAAAAAAUCGAAGCGAUCUUCAUUAAGCUCUUGCUUUGGGCCAGACAUGUUCCAACUGCCUUGCAGGUAUUCAAUCAUUUCAUUCGCACAUGAGCCCAUAAACUAGAAACUCUCAUCAUCUCCAUUUUACAGAUGAGAAAACUGAGGCUGAGAGAGGCUAAGCCACCUGCUAUAGGCCUCCCAGCUAGAAGGUGGCAGUGCCAGGAUUACUUUUAUAUACCAGGAGGGGAAUUGCCUGGCCCCAGUAAAGGGGUUAG
Molecule: long non-coding RNA, 3887 nt
Filed under: Homo sapiens (human)
Lineage: Eukaryota; Metazoa; Chordata; Mammalia; Primates; Hominidae
Description: HSALNT0002443
Source: RNAcentral